Oncorhynchus kisutch (coho salmon) is the source of this 1196-nucleotide long non-coding RNA. RefSeq lists it as uncharacterized. NCBI's taxonomy places the organism in Eukaryota, Metazoa, Chordata, Actinopteri, Salmoniformes, Salmonidae. The transcript has 3 exons. The record is from RefSeq and is a predicted model, not a curated record.
UGUCUGUCUCUGAUGAAAAUAAAUAUUUAAUGAAAGGAGAGUCAGAACUCCAGCAAAUCUUUUGAAUUCAAAACCUUUUUAUUAAUAUUUUUUUUCAGGUCCAAGGGCCAGUACAUCAAGAGCCAGACCAGUGAAAACAUUUGUGCCAGUCACUGAGGAGGAAGAAUCAGAGACAAGGACCAGUGGAUUGGAAUCCACUCCAGUUUUCAGCAUUGAUGAAGAAAUAGAACAACCUCAAUUCAUCAGGGCAUGGACUACAAGAUGUCGAAAGCGUUCCACAGGGAUCCACAUGUUGACUCAAAUGCCUCAAAUGCAAAUAUUUUGUUUUGCCCAUUCACCUUCUGAAUGGCACACAUCCAUGUCUCAAUUGUCUCAAGGCUUUAACAUGCUCCUUUAACCUGUCUCCUCCCCUUUUACCUACACUGAAGUGGAUUUAACAAGUGACAUCAAUAAUGGAUUAUAGGUUUCAUCUCGUCAGUUUGUCAGGGAAAGAGAAUGUUUUGUACGCUCAGUGUGUUUUUGCUGUUUUAAGAACAUUCUGAAUUUCUAUUCGACAAUGGGAUCAAGUUCUAUUGUUUGAUAUUCCAUUUUAGACCUAAUACUCAACAUUUUGGUCUGCCCUGUAAUUUAAUUUACUGUAGAAUCAAAGCUGAGGUUUUUGUCUUGUCACACCAUAGAAUCUGCAGAGAUAUAUUUGCUGUCACCUACUUACGUUUCUUAAUUGAAUCCUUUUCCCAUUUUUAUUGUGUUUACAAAAAAGCCAUACUUCGUUGAGAAGUUAACAGCUUUACUGCGAUGUCUCUACACAUGUAAAGUUCCCCUUGCACAACAGAAAGUCCAUGAUCGAGGAAUUCUACACACCCCUUCCUCCAACCACAGCCAUCUCUCUCCACAGUGAUGGCAAAUAUGCACUUCAUAUUGUGUGUUUUAUAUAUUUUUUGCGGCUGAAUGUAAUAUAUCAAAGUUCAAAUGUAUUCUUGUUUAUUGUAGUAUAACAUAUUGUCCCUAGAUAGUUUUUUACCAUUGCACCAGAGGUGAUAUUGCAGUUGCCUGACAAGCACCAACCAUGUUGGCCAUGGGAAACAUAAAGUCCUCGUAGGAAUAAAUGGUAUGUGCAAUAUCUACAAGAACCAAACAAUGAUGUAGCAAUGACAUUUAUUCCUAGUAAAAUUCCUGUAUUAGGUCAGUUAGGAUCA